This is an unclassified non-coding RNA of Monodelphis domestica (gray short-tailed opossum), 291 nucleotides long. It matches the Rfam family "Metazoan signal recognition particle RNA". From Rfam's summary of the family: The signal recognition particle (SRP) is a universally conserved ribonucleoprotein. It is involved in the co-translational targeting of proteins to membranes. The record is from Ensembl. Lineage: Eukaryota; Metazoa; Chordata; Mammalia; Didelphimorphia; Didelphidae.
CCUUUAAAACAUGUUACUUUAAAACUAUCCCAGCUGCCAGGGAGGCUGAGGUUGGUGGAUCUCUUGAGAAUUCUGAACUGUAGUGGUCUAUGUUGAUUGGGUGUCUGAUCUAAGAUUGGCAUCACUAUGGUGAUACCCUGGGAGUGGAGAGCUACCAGGUUGCCAAGGAAAAGCAGAUUAGCCCACAUUGGAAAUGGAAUAGGUCAAAGCCUAUGCUAAUCAGUAUUGGAAUUGAACCUAUAAGUGGCAAAAGCACUUCCAGUCUGGAUGAGAUAAGAGAUUCCAGUCUUU